RNAcentral lists this ribosomal RNA (466 nucleotides) under uncultured bacterium. RNAcentral describes it as "partial 16S ribosomal RNA". It matches the Rfam family "Bacterial small subunit ribosomal RNA", at positions 28 to 506 of the family's 1533-position model. The record is from RNAcentral.
GAUGAACGCUGGCGGCGCGCCUAACAAAUGCAAGUCGAACGAUUAAAGCACCUUCGGGUGUGUAUAAAGUGGCGAACGGCUGAGUAACACGUGGGCAACCUGCCCCUUUCAUUGGGAUAGCCACGGGAAACCGUGGAUAAUACCGAAUACUUCGAGACUUCCGCAUGGAAGACUCGAGAAAGCUCCGGCGGAGAGGGAUGGGCCCGCGGCCUGUUAGCUUGUUGGUGGGGUAACGGCCUACCAAGGCAAUGAUGGGUAGCUGGGUUGAGAGACCGACCAGCCAGAUUGGGACUGAGACACGGCCCAGACUCCUACGGGAGGCAGCAGUGGGGAAUCUUGCACAAUGGGCGAAAGCCUGAUGCAGCGACGCCGCGUGCGGGAUGAAGGCCUUCGGGUUGUAAACCGCUUCCAGCAGGGACGAGGCGAAAGUGACGGUACCUGCAGAAGAAGCCCCGGCUAACUACGU